CCUACGGGGGGCUGCAGUGGGGAAUAUUGGACAAUGGGGGGAACCCUGAUCCAGCCAUGCCGCGUGUGUGAAGAAGGCCCUCGGGUUGUAAAGCACUUUCAGUGAGGAAGAACGCCUGGUGGUUAAUACCCAUCAGGAAAGACAUCACUCACAGAAGAAGCACCGGCUAACUCCGUGCCAGCAGCCGCGGUAAUACGGAGGGUGCGAGCGUUAAUCGGAAUUACUGGGCGUAAAGCGCGCGUAGGUGGUUUGAUAAGCCGGUUGUGAAAGCCCCGGGCUCAACCUGGGAACGACAUCCGGAACUGUCAAGCUAGAGUGCAGGAGAGGAAGGUAGAAUUCCCGGUGUAGCGGUGAAAUGCGUAGAGAUCGGGAGGAAUACCAGUGGCGAAGGCGGCCUUCUGGACUGACACUGACACUGAGGUGCGAAAGCGUGGGUAGCAAACAGGAUUAGAUACCCGUGUAGUC
Molecule: ribosomal RNA, 465 nt
Filed under: Vreelandella stevensii
Lineage: Bacteria; Pseudomonadati; Pseudomonadota; Gammaproteobacteria; Oceanospirillales; Halomonadaceae
Description: partial 16S ribosomal RNA
Rfam family: Bacterial small subunit ribosomal RNA
Source: RNAcentral